This is a non-coding RNA of Dermacentor albipictus, 184 nucleotides long. Lineage: Eukaryota; Metazoa; Arthropoda; Arachnida; Ixodida; Ixodidae. The record is from RefSeq and is a predicted model, not a curated record.
AGACGUGGCCGACGCGGGUCAAAGUGUAGCAUUUGUUCUUAUCAGCUUAAUAUCUGAUACGGGUUCUAUUUGGACCCAAUAUAUUACGCUUAUUAUUGCAAGGCGGUGGAGUGCUUGAAGCCUACUUCACCUCCGCCGCGGGUCGGCGCGGUAUUGCACCAUCUUCGGAAUCGGCUCACGGUUU